Long non-coding RNA from Anguilla anguilla (European eel), 885 nucleotides. RefSeq lists it as uncharacterized. The transcript has 3 exons. NCBI's taxonomy places the organism in Eukaryota, Metazoa, Chordata, Actinopteri, Anguilliformes, Anguillidae. The record is from RefSeq and is a predicted model, not a curated record.
CUAUCCCGGCGUGCAUUGGGUGAGAGCUAGGAAUACAUCCUGGACAGGCCGCCAAUCCAUCGUAGGUCACACACACACCCAUACCUAUGGGCAAUGUAGAGUCUACCUGCCUUCUAGAAUAUAUUUGGACUGUGGAGGAAACCGGAGAACCGGACACGGGGAGAACCUGCAAACUCAGAAAGGUCCAGGACUUCUUGCUGUUAGGCGACAGUGCUGUCCACUGCACUACAGUGCCGCCCAUUUGCGGAAACCAGACUGACCGCAUUCUUCCACAAACCCAGAGUCUCCUGGCCAGAGGAACGUGAGCUAAACCGCCUGACCACCUGCUCCCUGCGCGGCGGCCAACGCAAACAGCAUCCACAGGAAGCAGCUUCAGCCUCAGCUUCCUGCCCUUUCCGCCACUCUGAGUUCCCAAUCUGCUCCAGCCCUGACCCUCUUCUGGUUCAAGCUCAUACCUUGACCUGGAGGCUGAGGCAUAUCGCCUUGCUCUCGUGACCUGCAUAUUAAUGUACACUUCUUUGCUUGGUCUGUCUAUUUUACCAGCUAGUUUAACAUCUCUGCCCAACCAUUAUGAUUAUUUGCUGUUAUCUUCGUAUUCGUUUUUAGCCUAAAUUGAGCUACUGACACUGUGCCAGCCAGUAGAGGAUGUGCUGCUCUUCUGUAGUUGGGUUCCUCCCCGUAAACUGUCUUCCCACUCCAAAUUAUUUUUUUUUGUGUGUUUUGUUCUGUUUUUUUGGGCAUUCAGGCUCAGUCUCUCCCCAUUUUGUUCAUGCUUGUUUUCAUGUAAAGCGUCUCUUUGACUGUCUCUAUAAAAAGCAAAAAUAGUACUGUUAUACAAAAGACUGAACUGUACUGAAUUUAAUUAGGAAAUGAUAGUCUCGGAUA